This 680-nucleotide ribosomal RNA is filed under the name uncultured bacterium. RNAcentral describes it as "bacterial SSU rRNA". It matches the Rfam family "Bacterial small subunit ribosomal RNA", at positions 27 to 702 of the family's 1533-position model. The record is from RNAcentral.
GAUUGAACGCUGGCGGCAUGCCUUACACAUGCAAGUCGAACGGCAGCGCGGACUUCGGUCUGGUGGCGAGUGGCGAACGGGUGAGUAAUGUAUCGGAACGUACCUUUCAGUGGGGGAUAACGUAGCGAAAGUUACGCUAAUACCGCAUAUUCUGUGAGCAGGAAAGCAGGGGAUCGCAAGACCUUGCGCUGAUUGAGCGGCCGAUAUCAGAUUAGCUAGUUGGUGGGGUAAAGGCCUACCAAGGCUACGAUCUGUAGCGGGUCUGAGAGGAUGAUCCGCCACACUGGAACUGAGACACGGUCCAGACUCCUACGGGAGGCAGCAGUGGGGAAUUUUGGACAAUGGGGGCAACCCUGAUCCAGCCAUGCCGCGUGAGUGAAGAAGGCCUUCGGGUUGUAAAGCUCUUUCGGCCGGGAAGAAAUCGCAUAGGUUAAUACCCUGUGUGGAUGACGGUACCGGAAUAAGAAGCACCGGCUAACUACGUGCCAGCAGCCGCGGUAAUACGUAGGGUGCGAGCGUUAAUCGGAAUUACUGGGCGUAAAGCGUGCGCAGGCGGUUUCGUAAGACAGAGGUGAAAUCCCCGGGCUCAACCUGGGAACUGCCUUUGUGACUGCGAAGCUAGAGUACGGCAGAGGGGGGUGGAAUUCCACGUGUAGCAGUGAAAUGCGUAGAGAUGUGGA